UUGAAUGAGAACAGAGAGAAAGUCACAGUCUGUGAAAGGAAACUGUCGCACUGUCCUCAUCUCUAGCACCACUCCUGAGAAAAGUUCAGCCCUGUUUUGAGAACUUUCUUACCUCUGGAGGGCAUCUGUGUGGUAGGAAGUCCUGAAAGUGGACUGAAACGAUGGAGGCAUCAGUGCUGAGCCCCACAUCCUGGGCAAAACGGAGGGCCUGGCUACGGCAGAGUCGUAACUGGCAAACUCAGGUCCUGGAAGAGGAAGCAGCAGCUGCCCUGCAAGAUGCACUGGAUCCUGAGCCUUCCAGCCUGGAUGAUGUUUUCCAGGAAGGGAAUCCAGUCAAUAAGAUUGAGGACUGGCUGCAGGGCUGUGGUUGUAGAGACACUGAAGAGGGACUUUCUGAAGAAAUAGGGCAAUCUAACUACAGUGGGUACUCUAGCCAUGGGGCAAGCUUUGAGGAUGACUUGAGUCUUGGAGCAGAGGCCACAUUACUGUCCACCAGUGGAAACCUCUUCUCUAGGAAUUUCCUCCAGACAUCCAGACUAUGCCAGUUACUUGAUCUUGGCUCUAGUUUGGCUUCCAGCAGCAUGACUGGUGGGACCAACAAAACCAGUUCAACCGUCUCAGAGAUUUUGGACCAGGUACAAGAAGAUGCAGAAGAUAUUCUUUUCAGCCUGGGCUUCGGCCAUGAGGACCACAAAGACACAUCUCGUAUCCCUGCAAGAUUUUUCAGCAACCCUUCUCAGGCCAAGGGCAUUGACUUUCAGCUCUUCCUGAAGUCUCAGGUGCAAAGGAUGGAGAUGGAGGAUCCCUGCCUGAUGCUGGCCAGCCGGUUUAAGCAGGUGCAGACGCUGGCUGUCACUGCUGAUGCUUUCUUCUGUCUCUACUCCUAUGUGUCUAAGACACCUGUCCAAAAGUUCACACCAUCCAACAUGUUCUGGAAUUUCGACCCAACUGAUGUGCCAUCCAUCAGGAUUCUGGCUCCAGAGUCUGAACCCUACUCACCCAAAGAACGUCUCCGGAAAGCAAUCUCUAAAAUGUGCCUAUAUACAGGUUCCCGAGAUCGACUGACAUCAUCUUACAACCCGAAAAAGAACAGUUUGGAUCAAAUUGUGUGGGAAGUGAUGGACAGAGUGAAAGGAGAGAAGAUAGGUCUCGAGCAAGACCCUGGGUCUGUGCCCCCAAUACAAAAUACAAAUCUACCUACUUCUUCCCUUCCAUGUGUUUUCUGCCCUAAAGAAGAAACACAGCGAGACAUGUGCCAUGUUCAUGCUCUAGCAAGAGCAGGUCCACAGUACCACACAGACUCUACACAGGUAAGGAGACAGCUGUGGGUUCUACAGGACAUUAAUGAGAAGUCAUAUUCAGCUGAGAAUGAGAGUCCAUGGGAAAGAAAAAGCAAAGCAAGAAAGAACCUAUUUCAAAUUCAGCAGCUUCAGAAUGCUUCUGAUUUGGAGCAGGACCAGCCUCAGCAUGGAGAGAGGUUCUGAGAGAAAGGGUGACUGGGAGUGGAGAAGACAAACGACUUGAAGUCAAAUCAUGGAUCAAAGCAAACAACUUGGGUUCUGCUUGAUACAGCUUUUCCAGUCUACUUCUCUCUAUGUUCUGCUUUCUCUCUGGAGAUUUCUGUCUACAUUCUGCUUGCUUGCUAUUCUAAGAGAUCUCCCUGUCCAUGUUCUGCUUACUUUCCUUAGCUAUCUCUAUGUCCGUGUCCUACUUGAUUAUGUGUGUGUGUGUCCAUCUAUCUAUCCAUCUGUCUGUCUGUCCAUCCAUCUGUCUGUCUGUCUGUAUAAAUACAGUGGGAUAGGAAGGUUUUGGGUGCCCCUUUUUCAUUAAUUAUUUAUUCCCUUUACAUACUGAUCAUAGCCCCCCUUCUUCCCAGUCCUACUCUCACAAACCCUUCCCCCUAUUGCCCCCUCCUUCUCCUCAGAGGAGAGGAAGCCCCUCUUGGUUACCACCUACCUUGGCAAGCUGAAGCAGGACUAGGUACUCUCUCACUGAGACCCGGCAAGGCAAACCAGCUAGGGGAGGGGAUCUAAUGGCAGGAGGCAGAGUCAAAGACAGGCCCCACUCCAAUUGUCAGGGGAUCUACAUGAAGCUGUGUACCUGCUAAAAAUGUGUCAGGGGCCUGCAUGCUCUUUGGUUGAUAGUUCAGUCUCUGUGAGCCCUCAUGGGCCCAGGUUAGUUGACUGUGUAGGUCUUCUUGUGAUGUCCUUGCGUAUCUUUUUAAUCAAUCCAUCACAGUUAAAAAUCCUUUAUUCUUCAUAUCUUUUUUCUUAAGAUUUAUUUAUUUUGCUGGGUGGUGGUGGCGCACACUUUUAAUCCCAGCACUUGGGAGGCAGAGGCAGGUGGAUUUCUGAGUUCAAGGCCAGCCUGGUCUACAGAGUGAGUUCCAGAACAGCUAAGGCUAUACAGAGAAACCUGGUCUGGGGAAAAAAAAAAAAAAGAUUUGUUUAUUUUAUAUAUGUGAGUACACUGUCAUUGUCUUUAGAUACACCAGAAGAGGGCAUCAGAUCCCUUACAGAUGUUUAUGAGCCACCAUGUGGUUGCUAAGAAAUUAAACUCAGGAUCUCUGGAAGAACAGUCAGUGCUCUUAACCAUUGAGUCAUCUCUCCAGUCCUAUUCUUCAUAUCUCAAAUAUUUACCAAGAGUAAAUUCUCAUUCAAAGGCUAGUCCAGCCCACUCAUAUCAUACAGAAAUUUGAAAGGAAGUUAAUUCCUAGAUUCAUUAAAUUAAAACAGAAAAUAUGUGAAGUAUAUUGCAGAUCCUUAUGUAUUUUAUGUAAGUAUAUAAGUAUAUUGCAGUUGCCUUGAGCAUCUGCUUCUAUCCUAUUUCUCCACUAGAUGCCUCACACAAGAAAAUAUCAAGAUGUCCCAUCAAUAUCAAUUCCCUUCAUAAACCUGAAGUCUGGGAUUUUGUCACUAGCAUCACCUGUAAAAAAAUAAUAAUAAAUAAAUAAAAGAUCAAAAAAGGAAGAAAAAAGAUAAAAAACCCUGAAGUCAUUCAGAGUAAAUUUCAGAAUUCAAAAAUAUCAGAAUUGUCUGGCAAAGAAAUGUAUUUUAACUAUGUGAAGAGAUCAUACUUUCUGUCAACAUAGCAGAAGAGAUGGUUAGACAUUCUGUAUUACUUUCUACAUCCUACACAUAUUUUCGAAACUAUAACAUACCUAUAAUUAGGAUACAUCGUAUAAUUUAUAUCAUUGGCCAAACUUUCUUUUUAUUUAAUAUGUUUUCAUAUGCAAUAUCAAUAAUUAUGAAUCUUAUAAGAGAUAACCAAAUACAAUACAUGCAGUAACAUUAGGGAGGAAUGUGCUUACAAUCUCAAGAAAAUAAAAACAAACUAUUUUAAAUAUUUCUCUCUUAUGAUUACACGAGAGAAUAAAAACAUCUUCUAUAACACUCUUUGUUUCAGGCUGUUUUUCCAAAGUAUUUCCCAUGUCUUUUUUUCCUUUCUUUUACUGAAAAUGAUCAUUUUUUUAAUGCAUCAUAUCUCAAUUUUGGUUUCCCCUCCUGUUCCCCCAGUUCUUUGCCUCCCUUCCCACCUAGAUCCACACCCUUUCUAUCUAUCAAAAUAUAAGCAGGCAUGCAGUAGACAAAACAAACAGGAGAAAAGAGCCCAAGAAAAGCUACAAAUCCAGAUAUAGCCACAAAGACCCAUUUUUGCUCACACUCAGUAAUCCUUUAAAAACACAAAACCAGAAACUGUUGUUUUGGAGGAUUUGGUUUGGUUUGGUUUUGGUUGGGUUGGGUUUUGGUUUUGGUUUUCUGUUAGUCAUCUACUGCUAGGCAACUGGCCUACCCUUAAGAGUAGUUUGUUUCCCUAGCAAGAUGUUUUCAAAAGAAACAUAAAUUACUGCUCUGGGCCUAUGUCUAUUAUUCUUUAAGAGAUUACAAAGUGAUAAAAUCUGCUCAGUGCAGCAAAGAUUGAGACCUAUAUGCUAAGUGUGGAGGGGAAUAGACUGAGAUAUAUUGAGUAAACCUCCCCAUCUCAGGGCAUAAGGAUAAGUAAGAUAUGCUAGCAAAAUUCAACCAGUCACUCAUGUUCAGCUGAAGAAUCUUCAUUGUCCAGAGACAUCCAACUUCCAAGGGUAACAGGGCUUAGAACCCACCCUCCAUGCCAACCUUUUCCACAAAAAUGUACUUCUUAUUUUUUAAAUUCUCUCUCUCUCUCUCUCUCUCUCUCUCUCUCUCUCUCUCUCUCUCUCUCUCCUCUCUCUCUCUCUCUCUGUUUCUUUCCCAUUUCCUUUUACAAAUAAUUCAUCUGUAUAAGGCAAAUGUUGAUUUAACAUUAGCAUAUAUGCAUCUUGCUAAAAGAGGACCUGCUCCUUCCUUGCUAUUACUGGCAGAAGGGUUUUUUCCCUCCCAUUUUUUCUUUUAAUCUAUGCCAAGGAAGUUCAUGGGUAUUAAUGGCCCCUGUCCCUCUCCAUAAUUUACACUAUGCUUAAAGAUCUCAAAUCCACCACCAUCCCACUGAAAUGUAAAGUACUCUCAGAGGUAAAAUGUAAAGUUUCCCACAUUAGUAAAAGGCAGAGCCAAGGAAGAGGGUCAAUGUGUGAUGUGCUGUUGUCUCAGUUAGCACCCUGUGCCUUUGCUAGACGGAGUGUAAGGAAGUACAAUCUUGAUUAUGUCCUCAAAUCAUAGAUACUUCAAAGUAUGUUUUUGUGUUUGGUGGAACUUGAAUGAUCUGGAAAGCUACAGUGUUUAUUUUCAAUUUAUCAUUUUGUCAUAUAAUAUAACAAUAAUAAACAUAUGUAGUGAUUAUUCUAUGUCAUAUACUAACCUUAACCCCAACUCUCUAGCACCCUAACCCUCUAACCCUCUAACCCUAACCCUAACCCUAACCCUAACCCAGGCUCCACCUAGUGUUUGGGCAUGCUCCCAUCAGCUGAUAGAGGAAGCCUCCUUGAUGAUGACUGAGCUAGGCACCCAUCUAUAAGUAUAGCAGAAUAUCAUUAGGAAUCAUUUCACUGAUUUUUGUUUUAGGUCAGUUGUGUUUGGUUCUUUGAGCUUUCCAGGCAAUGUUCAAAAUGGGCUCCUUCUCUUGGCUUGUGCCUCAAGUUAGACCAGUCAUUGACUGGACAAUCCCACAAGCUCUGAGCUGCAGAGAGAAUCUCUUCUAGGCUUCAUGGAAGCGUCACCUGUCAAUUUUAAAACGCUUAUGGCCAAUGAACUAAGUCAGGAAAUGGGAGGUGGAGCAUCCAGCAGAGAAAGAGAGAGGAUUCUGGGAAAGAGGCACAGGAGAUUUGCCUUGGACUCUAGAGGAGACAGUCACAUAAACCUCAGGAGAGGUAACUAAACAUGUGGAAAACAUAGAAUACUUUAAAUGAGUUAUACAAGUAAGACAGCUCAGUAGAAAAUGUCUGUUGCAAAGUUGGCAAUCUGACCUUGAUUAUCAUGUAAAGAUGGCCAAAGUAGAUCCAACAAAAUUUCUUCUAGUUCCCAUAUAUAUGUCAUAGCUUAAAACCUUAUAAUCACAUCACAUCACACACACACACACACACACACACACACACACACACACACACACACACACACACACCAGAAAUGUUUUUUUUAAAGAACUCUCAUGGAACAUCAAAUAAUAUAUGCAUAUCCACAUCAACCAAGCUGUGAUAUACAGUUGAUUGCUGAUUUCCCUACUUCUUUAUAUCUCUACCAGGAAUUAAAAUGCUACUUUGGUACACACAUGAGGUAUUUGAUGUUUCUUAUAUGUUCUUCUAUUAACAUUGCUGAAAUGUGUUGACAAAACAGGACACAUUGGGGUUACACCUUCUAUACUUGGACUCAUACUCAGGAGGAGGACACAUGAGUUAAAAUGUAGCCUUGGCUAAUGAUUGACAUCCAAGCCAGGCUGGGUAACAAACAACAUCUGAAGGAAAUUUAUGAAAAUAUGAAAAACAAAACCAGAAACCACCCACCACCCUUUUACGGGCACCCUUACUUGAAAAGUAUGAUCACACACUGCCUUAUAUUUAAAUAAACAAUGGGCCACUUAGAUGAUAGGCAUUCCAUCCUAUACAUUGUAUCAGAAAAAUACCUAUCACCAAGUGAAAGUGCAAUAUAAGAUAAACAUAAGUCAUAGAAGAAAUAUACUAAUAAACUUCUUUAAAUGGAUAUGCCAUAAACACAGCAAACAUCAAUACCUACUCCAAAUGAUUCAACAUACAAACUAAAACCACAAUUGAGUGAACAUGGCAAAUAAUUUACUUCCUUUAAGGCUAUGAUGAAAAAGAGAUAAAACAGUAUUUUUUUUUUCCUUGAAACUGAAGACAACUAUGUUUAAAGUCUUUAGCAAAUCAUUUGUACAAACAUGUGUUUUUUCCUACUUCCUGACAUCAAGAUGAUAUAUAAAGGCUUUAAAAUAUUUACAGAGCAAGAGACAUGGCUGGGCAGUUUAGACAAUUUCAUUCUCAGGAUCAAGGUCAGGUGUUUUUUGUUUUUGGGUUUUUUUUUUUUUUUACAACUUCCUGUAUAAUUCCUGCUACAAAAAGAUCUACGGAUCUAAUAUUCUUGGGAACCAGCAUGCAUGUGCAUAUACACACACACAAAAAAAAAACCCACACUGGCCUCACAUAAUUAAAGUGAAAAAAGUUAAACAAGUGAAUUUUUACUCAUGAAUGUUUUUCUUGUGUAAGCAUUCAUUCCUAUAACCCAGAUAUUGAGGCGCCUAAAGGCUUAUCUACAGAGUUUUUCUUCAUCAAAAAUUGGCUCAUGUAACAGAAAGCCAACACAUAGGCUUGAAGUCAGAAAAAUAACCCUUCUAAGUUGGUGGUAUCAUUUGAGAAGAGUUCAGAAGUGCUGUCCUGCUGGAGGAAGUAUGUUACUUAGAGUGGGCUUCAGAAUGUGCACCAACACACCAUGUCCAGUUCCCAAUCUCUGCUUCAUGUUAUUCAGCUUCAUGUUUUUGGCCCUAAUCGAUCAGUUGCGGCUUGAUACAAUAAAUUCUUGUCAUUUGCACUGAUCUGUGUUUCAGGUGUAUUUGAUCUCAACCGAUCCUAUAACUCAAAGGAUUUACUGCAUUGAUACCUUUAUAGAAUUUCUCUCCAGGAUAAAUUCUUUCAUGAUGAUGAAGACUAUAGAAGUGUGCAAAGUCUUCACCAUGUUAAAUGCACUCACAGGGUUCUUUCCACUAUGAUUUCUUUUCAUGACUUUAAUGAUGACUGUAAUAUGCAAAGGCCUUACCACAUUGCUUAUAUUCAUAGGUUUUCUCUCCAGUAUGUGUUUUUUCAUGCCUUUGAGAAUGAAUCUGAUAUGCAAAGACUUUACCACAUUGAGUAUAUUCAGAAGGUUUCUCUACAGUAUUUCUUUCAUGCCUGCAAAGGUAAUUGGCACAUGUGAAAGCUUUACCACAUUUGUUACACUGAUGAAUCUACAUGUAUAAGUUAAUUUUUUAAUUUGAUCUAAUGAUAUAAAGGUAUCAGAUCUUAAAGGUUUAUCAUUUUUAUGCAUUCAUGGUGUUCUCCUUCAUUAUGGGCUAUUUGCAUCUUUGAAGAAACCUAUAAUGAUAAGAGCAUUUAUUACAUGUUUCACAAUUAUAACAUUCUUUUUCUAUAUGAAGCUUUUCACAUGUUUGAAGAGAACUGGAAUAACUCAGAGCUUUACAACACUGAUGGCAUUCAUAAUUUUUCAUAUGAGUCAUACCACAUUUGCAAAGUAAAUCACGAAAAACAGAAGAAUUUCCACAUUCCUUGUAUUCGUGGGGAUUUUCUGCAAUGUCUAAGAAUUCCUGAAUUAAGCAGGUGACCUGCCCAGCUGCCUGAGCAGUGGAGCCAAGAACCGCCAGUUGACUUCCCUGGAGCUCCCAGAGUCUGGGAGGAGGAGCUUGCCCAAACUGUUAAAUGGUGUGACCUCCAUUAAAGUUUCGACUUCAAUCAGUAAA
This is an RNA transcript of Apodemus sylvaticus (European woodmouse), 7872 nucleotides long. It is a transcript of the gene named thymocyte expressed, positive selection associated 1, with no coding region annotated. The transcript has 11 exons. Lineage: Eukaryota; Metazoa; Chordata; Mammalia; Rodentia; Muridae. The record is from RefSeq and is a predicted model, not a curated record.